GCUUCAUCAGGUGCCGUUCCUUGACUGCAGCAACAAUUUCAAACACAAUUAAAAGUAGGAUAAUGAUCCUCAAACUAGAUAUCUUUUUUGGGGAAUAAAAAGUAAGACCAAAAACUAAACAGAGACCAGCUAAGCCCUUGUCUUUUCCAUUUUCUUUAUAUUUUUUUCCCGGGUUGGGUGGAGCUGGAGGGGCAAGCAUAUCAGCAAAAACAUCCAAGAGCACCUUAAUCACAUUCAUCAAGUCAAUUUGGCCAACUCCACCCUUAUCUAUGCCAUAAUGUGUCGUUAGCAAGUAGCAACAGUAUAUGAAAACAUCAAAGAAUAGAACCCACAUCAAAGCUCCAUAAACAAAGAUCUGAGCACGCAAUUGCACUUGCUGUAAAUCU
Molecule: unclassified non-coding RNA, 386 nt
Filed under: Hevea brasiliensis (rubber tree)
Lineage: Eukaryota; Viridiplantae; Streptophyta; Magnoliopsida; Malpighiales; Euphorbiaceae
Source: RNAcentral